UUAACUCAAAUUUGUAUGUAGUUGGAAGGUUUGCUUACAUUUGCCCGUAGGGGCGCUCUUCCAACUGCAUACAAAUUUGAGUUA
This is a non-coding RNA of Bombyx mori (domestic silkworm), 84 nucleotides long. Lineage: Eukaryota; Metazoa; Arthropoda; Insecta; Lepidoptera; Bombycidae. The record is from Rfam.